RNAcentral lists this ribosomal RNA (257 nucleotides) under uncultured Leptotrichia sp. RNAcentral describes it as "partial 16S ribosomal RNA". It matches the Rfam family "Bacterial small subunit ribosomal RNA", at positions 97 to 354 of the family's 1533-position model. The record is from RNAcentral. Lineage: Bacteria; Fusobacteriati; Fusobacteriota; Fusobacteriia; Fusobacteriales; Leptotrichiaceae.
GGCGGACGGGUGAGUAACGCGUAAGAACUUGCCCUUUAGACUGGGAUAACAGAGGGAAACUUCUGAUAAUACUGGAUAAGUUAGUAUAUCGCAUGAUAUGCAAAUGAAAGCUACGGCACUAAAGGAGAGCUUUGCGUCCUAUUAGCUAGUUGGUAAGGUAAGAGCUUACCAAGGCGAUGAUAGGUAGCCGGCCUGAGAGGGUGGACGGCCACAAGGGGACUGAGAUACGGCCCUUACUCCUACGGGAGGCAGCAGGG